GCUGGGCGGCGAGCUGAUCAGCCAUGCCGCGUGUGUGAAGAAGGUCUUCGGAUUGUAAAGCACUUUAAGUUGGGAGGAAGGGCAGUAAGUUAAUACCUUGCUGUUUUGACGUUACCAACAGAAUAAGCACCGGCUAACUUCGUGCCAGCAGCCGCGGUAAUAA
RNAcentral lists this ribosomal RNA (163 nucleotides) under uncultured Pseudomonas sp. RNAcentral describes it as "partial 16S ribosomal RNA". It matches the Rfam family "Bacterial small subunit ribosomal RNA", at positions 370 to 526 of the family's 1533-position model. The record is from RNAcentral. Lineage: Bacteria; Pseudomonadati; Pseudomonadota; Gammaproteobacteria; Pseudomonadales; Pseudomonadaceae.